ACUCAAAUGAAUAGACGGGGGCCCGCACAAGCGGCGGAGCAUGUUGCUUAAUUCGAUGCAACGCGAAGAACCUUACCUAGGCUUGACAUGCACGGAAAAGCCGUGGAAACACGGUGUCCUUCGGGGUCGUGCGCAGGUGGUGCAUGGCUGUCGUCAGCUCGUGUCGUGAGAUGUUGGGUUAAGUCCCGCAACGAGCGCAACCCUUGUCCUAUGUUGCCAGCGGGUAAUGCCGGGGACUCGUAGGAGACUGCCGGGGUCAACUCGGAGGAAGGUGGGGAUGACGUCAAGUCAUCAUGCCCCUUAUGUCUAGGGCUGCAAACAUGCUACAAUGGCCGGUACAAAGGGCUGCGAUCUCGCGAGGGUGAGCGAAUCCCAUAAAGCCGGUCUCAGUUCGGAUCGUAGUCUGCAACUCGACUGCGUGAAGGUGGAGUCGCUAGUAAUCGCAGAUCAGCAUUGCUGCGGUGAAUACGUUCCCGGGCCUUGUACACACCGCCCGU
RNAcentral lists this ribosomal RNA (497 nucleotides) under uncultured bacterium. RNAcentral's name for it is "partial 16S ribosomal RNA". It matches the Rfam family "Bacterial small subunit ribosomal RNA", at positions 899 to 1397 of the family's 1533-position model. The record is from RNAcentral.